UUGCCACCCUUCACUUGUUAUCAGUGAUCAGUUUAUCGCUUCACAUGAAUGGAGGAAUGUGUGUUAGAGGGCAGGGAUUGUAUACAAAUGUACUGCAUGCUGAAUGUUAAAACAAACUUCAGCAGUUCGUUUUUCAUUCUCUCUUUCCUCCAAGUGUAUUUCAGCUGUGUCAUUUCACCUUAUUUAAAAUGGAAACAGGAAAAGAAAUUCAGCUGUCCUCUACAACAGGAGAUGAUUUCUUUACAGUUUAGAUCUAUGAGGCUUUUACAACAAGGACUUCCAGGUCAUGCAACUUGAAAAGAGCUGAAGGUCACUGUUGUUUUAUCUGUAACGUGGCUUGGGUGUGGCCUUGAACCAGUCAUUUAAACAGUCCUGGGAGGUGCUCCUCCACCACUCUGCGGUGAUCUUCUGCUUCAACGCCCCGCCUCUAUCUGGGCUUGGCUGUGGUGUCUUUGCUGGUUGAGAUUAACUCCGUGUUCCUUCCAUAUCAGACACCGCCUCCUCCUGUCAGGAUGGAGGAACAGGCCAGGGUCUGAAAUUACAGCUCCUCGCCCCUCUGUGACCUACAGCAUAACCAGCCGGCUCAACCUGGGAACAUUACUGGUGUUUCAUGUCUGUACGAUGGGUUGAAUCUGGCUGGCAGCUCACAGUGGACGUAUGCCUCGCUACGUCCUGAUGAUGGGGACAGCAGGCCUGAGUCUCAUCUCCACCAUGAACAUAGUGCUGUUUUACAGACUGCUCAGAGCAGACGUCUUUACCAACGCACACAACACCAGCAAGAACCACUAGAGGGAGACAGCGCUGUGUUUCUCCUGGUCGAAAAUGACUCAAGUGAUUCAGUUUUCUACCUCAUGAUGUGGUUGAACAGUGGUUCAAGGAACUGAGGACCUCUGUAACUUACAGUGUUUUUUUUUUGAUCAAAUUUUUAUUGAUUAUUGUAACUGUAUGUGACACCCCCC
Long non-coding RNA from Siniperca chuatsi (mandarin fish), 959 nucleotides. RefSeq lists it as uncharacterized. The transcript has 4 exons. NCBI's taxonomy places the organism in Eukaryota, Metazoa, Chordata, Actinopteri, Centrarchiformes, Sinipercidae. The record is from RefSeq and is a predicted model, not a curated record.